CGACCGGCGCACGGGUGAGUAACGCGUGUGCAACCUGCCCGGCACAGUGGGAUAAUCCGGAGAAAUCCGGUCUAAUACCGCAUGACGCGGGAAAGGCGCAUGCCUUUUCCGCCAAAGGGGGCGACUCCGGUGCCGGCUGGGCACGCGUGACAUUAGCUAGUUGGCGGGGCGACGGCCCACCAAGGCGACGAUGUCUAGGGGUUCUGAGAGGAAGGUCCCCCACACUGGUACUGAGACACGGACCAGACUCCUACGGGAGGCAGCAG
Molecule: ribosomal RNA, 266 nt
Filed under: uncultured bacterium
Lineage: Bacteria
Description: partial 16S ribosomal RNA
Rfam family: Bacterial small subunit ribosomal RNA
Source: RNAcentral